AAUUAUCUUGACUAGUUAUGCCUCAUCACGAAUGAGAUGCAUUAUCGAAGCACUGAAGCCUCCUUUAUGAAGAAUUAAGGUCUGUCUACCUUAUUUUCCUGCACCCCAUUUCUUCACCUUUUCCUAGCGGGUGAGGCAACAGCUUAGGUGGCACUAUCUUCGCUUGUCUCCGCUAUUGUUGCCUCCGCUUGCUUAGACAACAGACGUACUCGAGGUCGGAGAAAAGAUGAAGAUCCUCGUUGCAGUGCUCGUCCAUGUCAUGUUAGCAGGACUUGUCUGCUCAUAUGGUGAUUUUGCGAACAGACAGAAGUCUCUGUUGCACUACUUUCGGAAUGCUGUAAGUAGUUGAUGCUUCAGUGCUUCUGCAAAUAUGUUUGCGUUGGUAUUAAUGCAUACUUAUUCACAGGCAUAUAGAUAAGUAACUAGAUUAGUAAAUGGA
Penaeus vannamei (Pacific white shrimp) is the source of this 439-nucleotide non-coding RNA. NCBI's taxonomy places the organism in Eukaryota, Metazoa, Arthropoda, Malacostraca, Decapoda, Penaeidae. The record is from RefSeq and is a predicted model, not a curated record.